RNAcentral lists this ribosomal RNA (229 nucleotides) under uncultured bacterium. Its description in RNAcentral is "partial 16S ribosomal RNA". It matches the Rfam family "Bacterial small subunit ribosomal RNA", at positions 568 to 796 of the family's 1533-position model. The record is from RNAcentral.
UGCGUAGGCGGGGCAAUUAGUCAGUGGUGAAAUCCUGCGGCUUGACCGUAGAACUGCCAUUGAUACUGUUGCUCUUGAGUAUAGUUGAGGUGGGCGGAAUGUGUAAUGUAGCGGUGAAAUGCAUAGAUAUUACACAGAACACCAAUUGCGAAGGCAGCUCACUAAGCUAUAACUGACGCUGAGGCACGAAAGCGUGGGGAGCGAACAGGAUUAGAUACCCUGGUAGUCC